GAUGAACGCUGGCGGCGUGCCUAAUACAUGCAAGUCGAGCGAACAGACGAGGAGCUUGCUCCUCUGACGUUAGCGGCGGACGGGUGAGUAACACGUGGAUAACCUACCUAUAAGACUGGGAUAACUUCGGGAAACCGGAGCUAAUACCGGAUAAUAUAUUGAACCGCAUGGUUCAAUAGUGAAAGACGGUUUUGCUGUCACUUAUAGAUGGAUCCGCGCCGCAUUAGCUAGUUGGUAAGGUAACGGCUUACCAAGGCAACGAUGCGUAGCCGACCUGAGAGGGUGAUCGGCCACACGGGAACUGAGACACGGUCCAGACUCCUAAGGGAGGCAGCAGUAGGGAAUCUGCCGCAAUGGGCGAAAGCUUGACGGAGCAACGCCGCGUGAGUGAUGAAGGUCUUCGGAUCGUAAAACUCUGUUAUUAGGGAAGAACAAAUGUGUAAGUAACUAUGCACGUCUUGACGGUACCUAAUCAGAAAGCCACGGCUAACUACGUG
This 497-nucleotide ribosomal RNA is filed under the name uncultured bacterium. Its description in RNAcentral is "partial 16S ribosomal RNA". It matches the Rfam family "Bacterial small subunit ribosomal RNA", at positions 28 to 507 of the family's 1533-position model. The record is from RNAcentral.